This 482-nucleotide ribosomal RNA is filed under the name uncultured bacterium. RNAcentral's name for it is "bacterial SSU rRNA". It matches the Rfam family "Bacterial small subunit ribosomal RNA", at positions 29 to 495 of the family's 1533-position model. The record is from RNAcentral.
AGUGAACGCUGGCGGCAGGCCUAACACAUGCAAGUCGAACGGCAGCACGGCAGUAGCAAUACUGUGGGUGGCGAGUGGCGGACGGGUGAGGAAUACAUCGGGAUCUACCCUGUUGUGGGGGAUAACGUAGGGAAACUUACGCUAAUACCGCAUAAGAACUGAGGUUGAAAGCGGCGGACCGCAAGGCGUCGCGCGAUUGGAUGAACCGAUGUCCGAUUAGCUAGUUGGCGGGGUAAAGGCCCACCAAGGCGACGAUCGGUAGCUGGUCUGAGAGGACGACCAGCCACACUGGAACUGAGACACGGUCCAGACUCCUACGGGAGGCAGCAGUGGGGAAUUUUGGACAAUGGGCGCAAGCCUGAUCCAGCAAUGCCGCGUGCAGGAUGAAGGCCUUCGGUUGUAACGUAGCUUUGUUACGGUAACGAAACGGACGUCUUUCUAAUAAAGGAGACGUAAUGACGGUACCGUAAGAAUAAGACACC